Oncorhynchus keta (chum salmon) is the source of this 269-nucleotide long non-coding RNA. RefSeq lists it as uncharacterized. The transcript has 4 exons. The record is from RefSeq and is a predicted model, not a curated record. NCBI's taxonomy places the organism in Eukaryota, Metazoa, Chordata, Actinopteri, Salmoniformes, Salmonidae.
CCACGGUCUGCAGAGAGGUGUCUAAAUGAAUAUACCACGGUCUGCAGAGAGGUGUCUAAAUGAAUAUACCACAGUCUGCAGAGAGGUGUCUAAAUGAAUAUACCACGGUCUGCAGAGAGAUGUCUAAAUGAAUAUACCACAGUCUGCAGAGAGGUGUCUAAAUGAAUAUACCACGGUCUGCAGAGAGGUGUCUAAAUGAAUAUACCACGGUCUGCAGAGAGGUGUCUAAAUGAAUAUACCACGGUCUGCAGAGAGGUGUCUAAAUGAAU